RNAcentral lists this ribosomal RNA (284 nucleotides) under uncultured Lactobacillus sp. RNAcentral describes it as "partial 16S ribosomal RNA". It matches the Rfam family "Bacterial small subunit ribosomal RNA", at positions 251 to 524 of the family's 1533-position model. The record is from RNAcentral. Lineage: Bacteria; Bacillati; Bacillota; Bacilli; Lactobacillales; Lactobacillaceae.
GGUAAGGUAACGGCUUACCAAGGCGAUGAUGCAUAGCCGAGUUGAGAGACUGAUCGGCCACGUUGGGACUGAGACACGGCCCAAAACUCCGUACGGGAGGCAGCAGUAGGGAAUCUUCCACAAUGGACGAAAGUCUGAUGGAGCAACGCCGCGUGAGUGAAGAAGGUUUUCGGAUCGUAAAAGCUCUGUUGUUGGUGAAGAAGGAUAGAGGUAGUAACUGGCCUUUAUUUGACGGUAAUCAACCAGAAAGUCACGGCUAACUACGUGCCAGCAGCCGCGGUAAU